CGGUUGGUAACACGUCUAACCAUAAUUUGGAAAAGGCCGCCUACUUUAGAGAGCGGUACAAAAACUUAACUCCCGCCGAGAGGGAGUUUAGGCGUGAACGCCUUAGGUUGUACAAUAGUACACCAAAGCGGAAAGGGUCAAAGAUAGAGUACAUACGAAAACGUAGAGCACUGUUGGCUGACACAUUGAGUCAUGAGUCCAUCGCCAUGGAGUCCCCAACAUAUACCCCUGAGGUUGUACACCCUACAACAGAUGCAAUUGAACCUGAUGGAUCCGCAGUUACCCCCUGCGACUGGGUUAUCCCUGAAAUCGCCAGUAACCCGUUCCUGCCAGCUUCAACACAGACUGAGGAUGCCAAUUCACUGCAUAUGUCUAUUGGACCACUAAGACGUAAACAACAUGUGCCACAUGGUGAAAGACAAUCUAUCUUAGCCCGUCGAAACCGGCAAUUUGAAGCAUCCAUUUCAAGGAACAUGGCUACUGCGACUGAUG
RNAcentral lists this unclassified non-coding RNA (492 nucleotides) under Zea mays. RNAcentral's name for it is "misc RNA Zm00001eb299400". Lineage: Eukaryota; Viridiplantae; Streptophyta; Magnoliopsida; Poales; Poaceae. The record is from RNAcentral.